RNAcentral lists this unclassified non-coding RNA (645 nucleotides) under uncultured Prochlorococcus sp. Its description in RNAcentral is "partial 16S-23S ribosomal RNA intergenic spacer; may also contain 16S ribosomal RNA and 23S ribosomal RNA". The stretch from base 1 to 93 matches the Rfam family "Bacterial small subunit ribosomal RNA", at positions 1441 to 1533 of the family's 1533-position model. Lineage: Bacteria; Bacillati; Cyanobacteriota; Cyanophyceae; Synechococcales; Prochlorococcaceae. The record is from RNAcentral.
UUGUGGAGGAGGACGCCGAAGGUGGGGCUAAUGACUGGGGUGAAGUCGUAACAAGGUAGCCGUACCGGAAGGUGCGGCUGGAUCACCUCCUAACAGGGAGACAACAAAAUGUUUAAUAUUAUUUUGUCACCUUAGGUCGAUCGGUAUCUCACAUCCUUAAUUUAUUAAGGUUUUCAUUCCUAAGUUUUUCUAGGUCACACCCAUUAUUUUUCCUGGGCCAUUAGCUCAGGUGGUUAGAGCGCACCCCUGAUAAGGGUGAGGUCCCUGGUUCAAGUCCAGGAUGGCCCAUAUCUCUAUGUUGGGGGUAUAGCUCAGUUGGUAGAGCGCCUGCUUUGCAAGCAGGAUGUCAGCGGUUCGAGUCCUCUUACCUCCACUGAUUACCACCUCUUCCAUAAUCUAUUAUGAAAGGAAAAUUAUGAGUUGUGAUCUAAUUCUGAACGAAUCUAGCUUCCUAAUGAAUUCAUUAAGAUGCUGGACUCAUUGAAUUAAUUUCAUUGUUUUCAGAGAACCUUGACAACUGCAUAGAUUAUUUUUUUAAAGACAAUAAGCAUCUUUAAUGAUGCAGAUUUAUUAUUUUUGCGAAUGCAUUAAUAACAAUUCUAUUAAGCUGAUGCUUCAAUUUUGAAGUUAUUGGUCAAGCUACAA